CAGGCUUAACACAUGCAAGUCGAGGGGCAGCAUGGUCUUAGCUUGCUAAGACUGAUGGCGACCGGCGCACGGGUGAGUAACACGUAUCCAACCUGCCGUCUACUCUUGGACAGCCUUCUGAAAGGAAGAUUAAUACAAGAUGGCAUCAUGAGUCCGCAUGUUCACAUGAUUAAAGGUAUUCCGGUAGACGAUGGGGAUGCGUUCCAUUAGAUAGUAGGCGGGGUAACGGCCCACCUAGUCUUCGAUGGAUAGGGGUUCUGAGAGGAAGGUCCCCCACAUUGGAACUGAGACACGGUCCAAACUCCUACGGGAGGCAGCAGUGAGGAAUAUUGGUCAAUGGGCGAGAGCCUGAACCAGCCAAGUAGCGUGAAGGAUGACUGCCCUAUGGGUUGUAAACUUCUUUUAUAAAGGAAUAAAGUCGGGUAUGCAUACCCGUUUGCAUGUACUUUAUGAAUAAGGAUCGGCUAACUCCGUGCCAGCAGCCGCGGUAAUACGGAGGAUCCGAGCGUUAUCCGGAUUUAUUGGGUUUAAAGGGAGCGUAGAUGGAUGUUUAAGUCAGUUGUGAAAGUUUGCGGCUCAACCGUAAAAUUGCAGUUGAUACUGGAUAUCUUGAGUGCAGUUGAGGCAGGCGGAAUUCGUGGUGUAGCGGUGAAAUGCUUAGAUAUCACGAAGAACUCCGAUUGCGAAGGCAGCCUGCUAAGCUGCAACUGACAUUGAGGCUCGAAAGUGUGGGUAUCAAACAGGAUUAGAUACCCUGGUAGUCCACACGGUAAACGAUGAAUACUCGCUGUUUGCGAUAUACUGCAAGCGGCCAAGCGAAAGCGUUAAGUAUUCCACCUGGGGAGUACGCCGGCAACGGUGAAACUCAAAGGAAUUGACGGGGGCCCGCACAAGCGGAGGAACAUGUGGUUUAAUUCGAUGAUACGCGAGGAACCUUACCCGGGCUUAAAUUGCAGAUGAAUUACGGUGAAAGCCGUAAGCCGCAAGGCAUCUGUGAAGGUGCUGCAUGGUUGUCGUCAGCUCGUGCCGUGAGGUGUCGGCUUAAGUGCCAUAACGAGCGCAACCCUUGUUGUCAGUUACUAACAGGUUCCGCUGAGGACUCUGACAAGACUGCCAUCGUAAGAUGUGAGGAAGGUGGGGAUGACGUCAAAUCAGCACGGCCCUUACGUCCGGGGCUACACACGUGUUACAAUGGGGGGUACAGAGGGCCGCUACCACGCGAGUGGAUGCCAAUCCCCAAAACCUCUCUCAGUUCGGACUGGAGUCUGCAACCCGACUCCACGAAGCUGGAUUCGCUAGUAAUCGCGCAUCAGCCACGGCGCGGUGAAUACGUUCCCGGGCCUUGUACACACCGCCCGUCAAGCCAUGGGAGCCGGGGGUACCUGAAGUGCGUAACCGCGAGGAGCGCCCUAGGGUAAAACUGGUGACUGGGGCUAAGU
RNAcentral lists this ribosomal RNA (1439 nucleotides) under uncultured organism. Its description in RNAcentral is "16S ribosomal RNA". It matches the Rfam family "Bacterial small subunit ribosomal RNA". The record is from RNAcentral.